This is an RNA transcript of Asparagus officinalis (garden asparagus), 2280 nucleotides long. RefSeq lists it as uncharacterized. NCBI's taxonomy places the organism in Eukaryota, Viridiplantae, Streptophyta, Magnoliopsida, Asparagales, Asparagaceae. The record is from RefSeq and is a predicted model, not a curated record. The transcript is spliced from 7 exons.
GUCUAAAUUUAUAAGCUCACCACUAUCCAAAAAUCAUCCUAUCUUCUCCUUCAUCCAGAUUAAUCAUCAGAUUGGAGAAAAGAAGAAACCAACCCUAACCCUUGACGAGCUCACUGGUGAUAAUAUGAAGGACGACGAUGAAGAGGACGGAGGUAGUAGCAACAGAUGCUUACACUGGAUUGGGAGGUAUUGGAAAUUAUGAGGAAAAAGUCAGGUGCUGCUGAAAUUAGACCUACUGCUAGUUUCGUCGCAUAUUGUAAAUUUAUGAAAGUCCUCGAACCGAGAAUGCGGCAGUGUCAUUGGGAUGCAUACCAAGGGUGUACAUUCCAGCAUUAUGUAAAGUUUGGCCCCCCAGCAGUAGGUCAACCCACGCUAGAACUUGUAUUGAGUCACUAUAAGGGUAAUGAAGUGGCGUUUUCUCUGCCCGAUGUCGAAAGUGGGAGAGAAAAGGUUGUUAAUUUUGAUAUGGGCUAGGUGCAUGAACAUACAGGUUUCCCAAUUGAUGGGGAAAUAAUUUACAAUAAUAGAGAUCCUUUCCCAAGGCUUUGGGUGGAGUAUUUUGAUGAACAUUUUACUAGAACCCCAAAGAAAUCAGCGAAGAAUAUGCGGCGAUAUGUGGAAGAGCUACUGCAAUCUCUUGUUGAAUCAAGAAAGAAGAAGGAUAUUGAAGAUUUUGUGUUACUGUAGAUACUUUAUCAAUGUUCAAUGAUGUGGUGCCCUAGCAGUGUCCAAGGCAUCCCAAGGCUCUUGUUCAAAUAUAUUGAUUCAAUUGAAAGAGUGAGGAAUGUGGCCUGGGGGAAAUACAUCUAUGACCAGAUGAAGAAAAAAAUUAAGAUUGCCAUGGAAGGUCUGCACAGGUCAGGAGUAAGCUAUGUACCUGGAUGCAUGCCUUUGAUCCCCCUAUGGUACUAUGAAAUGAUGGGGAUUAAAAGAUAUGCCUUGAGCAAUAGAUUCAAGCCACCCCUCACUAACUGGGUGAAGAUUGGUGAGAAAUAUGGAUCUUUUCGAAAGCGCACAAUAGUUUCCAAGGCUGUAAAAGCUAGCAUCCAUAUUGUACAUAAACCAAUAGCUGAAAUUGGCCCAUCCGAUGAGAAAUAUCCAAUCAGAAGGCUAUUGAUGAGGCUUAGAAGUAAAGGGAUUGUACCACAAUUUCCAGUCAUACAUACGGAGGGGAAGAAAGCAGCAGUAAGGAAGAGGAAGAUUGAAGAAGAAAAGAAGAUUGAAAAAAAAAGGAAGAAGAGAAGGAACAUGAGAAGAGAUGGUCAAUAGGUUUGGUACGUCGAUGUCAUAACUACUGCUAACAACACAAUUACAUACCCGGAACUACUGUAUAUGUUCCGCGGGAGAAGACUCGAUGACAAAAUAACAGAGGCCAUCUUAGACAGAUUACGGCUAUUGCUGCAGUUGCAGGAGAACGCUGUCUUAAACAAGCAGUUAUAGCCUCCUAUGUUGUGCUUCUAAAUAGGUUGAUGGAGACGCGUCCAAACUACGCAAAGGACAUACACAUAUGUAGUCUAUGAGUAAUUGUAAGUAGAAAUCCUCCGAGAUUAUAAGUAUUAUUCAUAAGUUAUCUUAAAUACUUAAUCUUAACUUUCAUUGUUUUUUAGAGAUGCAUCAAUGAAAAUAACCCGUCGAGUGUGGAUCGAAUGUUUAAGCCAAUAACGACUACUCGAUUCCAUGAACUUGAUAAUAUUAUUUUCCCACUCCUAACUUUAUUUCAUUGGCAUAUGUUGGUAUUCUCUGUAAAGGAUAGAAGAUUUUAUCAUUAUUUUUCUCUACGCGGAUAUAUGUCCGAUGCUAGUGAUUUUAGAGUGAAGCUUAUUUCUACCAUUCCCGAUGCUUGGAAUUUGGACAUUACUUCUUGUCAGGAUAUAGAAAGUGUUGACGUACCUCAAUAACGUAGUAGCUUGGAUUGCGGGGUGUUCUUGAUGCCGUAUAUGUUUAGCCACGUUUCCGAUCAAUCAAUUUCAAUUGACCAAAAAGAUUGUGCAAGACAUAGAGUUCGUAUCGUUGUUCUAUUUCUAUCUGAAGGAGAUGGACGUGAUCCUCAAGGCUAAUUCCCCGUAUGCUAGCUGUCAAAUGUGAUAGCAAUAGUUAACCAAGUGUAAACAUAUGUUUGGAAAUUGAUUUGUAAAGUAUUUGUAUUAAUGUAUAUUUGUCAGUAUGAACAUAUGUUUGUCAUUAUGAAACCAAUGGGACUGCUGUUGGAAUAUAGUUUGUCAUGCAAGUUGUAUAUAGUUUGUUUGUCAUUAUGAAAUAUAUGUUUGUAUGAACGUUGUA